ACCUAAUAAGACCAGCAGGGGGAAACAAAUAGAAGAGAAAGCACAGGGACAAGACAUGACAAUAUAUGACAAAACAUGACAAUUAUUUGUAAUCAGAAGCUUGUGUAACUAAUUUGAUUUACAAUGACGGCCUAUCCCAGCAAACCCGGAUCAACUGUGCACCACCCUAUGGGACUCCCAAUCACAGCCGGAUGUGAUUCAGUCUGGAUUUGAAUCCGGGACUGUAGUGACGCCUCUUGCACUGAGAUGCAGUGCCUUAAACCACUGCACCACUCAUGCCCUAAUGGUUUGAUACUGUAAAAACUCAAAUUAAAGCAUUCUUAUUUUGUUAUUCAGACUGAUGGGUUACAACCUGACAGAAAAAUGGUGUGAAGCACUGGCCUCUUCUCUCAGCUCCCCUCAACUGAGAACGCUGAACCUGAAUGAUAAUGAUCUGCAGGAUUCAGGAGUGAAGCUGCUCUCUGCUGGACUGAGGAGUCCACGCUGUAAACUGGAAGUUCUUACGUGUUGGAGUGUAAAGUAUUAAGUGACACAUUUUUAAUACACAUUGUAUGUUUGCAUGUGAAUUAAUUGUCAUAAUGGCUUAAUAACUUUGUGAAUUCAUUUGUCAACUGAAUACCGGUGAUCAUAUUUGACAUGGGGUGCAACUAUGCCACUAGGUGAGUCCAAAUCCUUCAUUGAAUGUUCUCUUCCUAUAGUUUGUUAUUAUAUGGAAUCACGGAGGAAGGCUGUGCUUCCUUGACCUCGGCUCCGAGGUCAAACCCCUCACACCUGAGAGAGCUAAAUCUGGACUACAGUCACAUAGGAGACUCAGGAGUGAAGAUUCUCUCUGCUGCACUGGAGCAUCCAGACUGUAAUGUAAAACUCAGUCUGAACAAUAAUGCAGAGCACUGGUUGAAGUCUGGCCUGAAGAAAUGUAGAUGCCUAUGAGCUGACACUGGACCCAAACACAGCCCACAGACGCCUCUCCGUCUGAGGGGAACAUAACAGAGCUGGGAGACAGAGGAGAAACCGUAUCCUGAUCACCCAGACAGAUUUCAAUGCUGGUCACAGGUUUUGUCUAGACAGAGGAGCAACCAUAUCCAGAUUAGAGUUGCUGUUAUCCAAUACAUGUAUGAUAUAGGCUACUGCACAGUACGCACGACAGACAAACAUAAAGGCCCAUAGAUGUAGCUAGCUAUAUGCUCUCUUAGGUAAAUAAAUGAAACUAGUGUGAACUGUAUUACUGUACUGCAUUAUACUGUAUUAUAUGGGCUGGAAUUACGCACAUUGUUCAAACCCCGAUGAAGCAGAAGAGAACAUGCGAUUCGUGUGCAGCACAUGCGGCCUACAAAGUUACAAGUAUAGGCUAAAGAAUUUGAUUUAAAUUGUGAAAUAUAAUAUGGCCUAUUUGUAUACUUAGUAGGCUGUCGCAUAUAUAGCUUUCAUAAUAUUCCCCUAAUGUUAUUAGCCCACUUCCUCUUUCUCUAUUGUUGCUUCAUUCCUUCCUCGCUUUCAACAGUUCAAUUAGAUACUUUUCGUUGUCCUUAUCUUCAUCAUUCUAAUGACAUCCAUUAAUAAUAUUGGACUAGAAUUAGAAACAGAAUGCUUUCACUUCUCUUCACGAAGAUUGAAUGGUAAUGAGUCCGAAUAAAUAACUGAUAUAGCCUACCGCUAUCGCGCCCAUUUGCUCUUCUUUCAAACUACCCGUGAGUUCUAUUCGCUGCUGUAUUUAGCAAUCAUAAACAUAUAAUGCCCAACAAUGUAUUUUAGUCUAGUUUUUCCUGCAUGGGAUUGGAAGGGCUAAGGAGCGUUUUUUAAGGAGAGGUCAGCGGAGCACAGGUGUGUGCGUACUGUAAAUAAGACUCUUACUAUGCAUAACCCAUUAUUAAUUAGCUAAAUAUAAGGCUAUUACUGCACUGCGUGUAUUACCUGAAAGAGGUAGGCUAGGAUAUCUCUAUAUAGGGCUAUAUAUCAAUCUAGAACAAGGUGAUCUAUUUUGGAUGCAAUUUGAAUGGAGUUGAUAGAGAGAACAAGACUGCGAGAGAGUGCUCGCGCGUGCACUGAUACAAUGCAAUGAUGUUUUGAGUGAUAGGAUGUUUUAAAACUGCAGCUGCAAUUGAAAAAAGUAUAAUCUUUCAAAUUAAAAAACAAGGUGACGCCCGAAAGCCAUAUGGAGAUGGGUAAAUUAGACGGGCAUUCGCUCUUUAUAUUACUGUAGCAUAGGCUAUGCUGCAACAACUGUACGCUACCUGUCACAAGAAAACACGUUGCCAUGAUGAAAUGAUAGUUUGACAUGCAUUGUGAACAGCGCUCCAUACUGAGAUAGGAUGUCUGUCCCCACCUUCAGUGUUGAUUCAUCAUACAGACGCCGUAGAGAAGACCGAUUUAGACAUUGCAUAUCAUUUAACAGUUCCAUUUCACGCGAUGCUGUUCAUAUAAAUGAUUUAUUAUAAUUUACUGGUUUCUCACAGUUAUUUAUCCCGGGAAAGGGGAGUGGUUUUGGGGCAGUAAAUCUCGGUAACCGGGCUCCAGCCAUUCAACCCUAAUCCUGUUCACCCAGACAGAUUUCAACGCAGGCUAAAGAUUUAGUGUAGUCCACAGGUUUUUCAUAUUGGGUUUUGUUAUUGGGAGGUAGAGUGGCAUGGGACAGAAAUCCUAGGAAUCACCAGGGGCCAACUGUCACUGGGGAGGGGGGGACUGGAACGUGAUAAAAACAACCGAGGCAAUGGUGUGGUUUAGGAGUGUCCUCUGGUAUAUUUACCCACCUGUGGACUUUAAAAACAGAUCCACUGAGUCCCUCUACCCAGGGGUUUGGGUUUCUGUGGACUCCAUACUAGUGUCCUGUAA
Long non-coding RNA from Oncorhynchus gorbuscha (pink salmon), 2829 nucleotides. RefSeq lists it as uncharacterized. NCBI's taxonomy places the organism in Eukaryota, Metazoa, Chordata, Actinopteri, Salmoniformes, Salmonidae. The record is from RefSeq and is a predicted model, not a curated record. The transcript has 3 exons.